Molecule: long non-coding RNA, 1857 nt
Organism: Equus caballus (horse)
Lineage: Eukaryota; Metazoa; Chordata; Mammalia; Perissodactyla; Equidae
Source: RefSeq, a predicted model, not a curated record
CCAACCGCUCCAGGUGAGAGCUCACCUGACGCCGCGCCUGCCUGGGGACGCGGCGGCGGAACGUGAAGCCCCCCGGGCCUGGAGAGGCUGGGAUGGGGUCCGAGGUGGGGACGAAGGAGUUUGUGCUUCUCCCGGGCGGGGGGAAGGGACGCACAGGAUUCUCUCCCCGGAGGGCAUCGCAGAACUGCCCAGGUGGCAGCACCUGUUACUGAUAAUAAUUCCAACAGCGGCUCCCGUGUACCAAGCUCUACGUGUGUGCCAGGCUCGGCACAUAGCUUCACUGAAGCCUCGAGCCCCCUGUGAGGUUGGGGCAAUCGUUAUCCCCAUUGCACAGGUCCAGUGUCAAGGUUUACCGCAGUCUCUCCCUCUUGGCUUCUAUCACCGGGUUGUGCCAACCUUCCUCUUCUUGACCAGGCAUUCAGCGUGUUAUGGCCUGGGUGUAAUACCACAGGUCUCCAAUAGGGGUCGCUGACUACAACAGGAUGGGACACCUGUAGUUGAACGGAGAGAACCCUGGGUCCUAACUUAACCUUGUCCUUGGCUUCCUCUAUGACCUCGGUUUCCUCAUCCAUAAAGUGGAUAUAACAGUCCCUAGCUGCCUUCCUCACAGAACAGUGGUGAGAAAUGUGAGGAUGAAAGUGAACACCUUCCAUUCAGAAGAGGCAGCUUCCAUCCAGAUGUUUUCAAAAAACCAGUCAUCCCAUAAUUACUUUUUGAGCGUCACUCACCGUGCCAGGUGCCAUAUGGAAUCCAGAAAUUACUUCUACCUUCGCAUAAAAGAACUUUGAAUAAAAGUUUAAAGCAAACUGUAACCCUGACAGUCGGGGGAGAGGCUCGAGCGCUCCCUGGUGGGUGGAAACAGCAGCAUCCCCUGCCCCGGGAAAGAUGAGGGGAUGUGAAGCAGCAGGACGUCUACUUCAGCCUGUGGCUGGAAGUCUCUCGCAUCCAGUAACUCAUCUCUUCCUCUCACAACCCGGUUUGCGCAUGGGGAAACCGAGGCACAGCGAAGCGAAGUGACCUGCCCGAGAACCUGGAUUCCAGGAACCUCCCAGCCAGCUAAUCCCAGAACAUGGAGUGGAAAGGGACAGCACGGGAAGACAAGUGACCCGAGCGGGCAGGGAGGGACGGAGAAGGGAGGACCUUCCUGUCCUGACACCCUGGCCAGGCAGACGGAGCUGAGGGCGGCCGCGGCGGCCAGCCUUCUGCAGGAGCGCCCCCUGCUGGUGACCGGUGCUGCCGCUUGUGGCGGCCGCGGGUGAAGGAGGAUGCUUAGCUCUGGGGGGGCUGUUCCCUAAGAGACAGGAGACCCCCACCAGAGCAGAGCAGGAAGGGCCCAGAGGCGUCGCCCCAACCUCUUCACUUUGCACAUGGCAAACGCGAAGCUCAGAGGAGGAAGUGACUCGCUCAAGGGCUCUCAGAGAGCCGACGGGAUGCAGGUCUCCCAGUCGUCCUUCCUCAUACUGCAGAAUUCUCCAUCUCCCGUCCCCUCCUGCCCCGCAUUCCUGAGCCCGGAGGGCCCCUUCUUCCCCUCCCGGCGCCCAGCCAGUCCCCAUUCCUCCUCUCCUCUCCAGCCCCUGCCCGCCCCACAAGCCCGUCCCCUCCAGGAACCCUCCCACACUCAGCCCCAGAGCUCUCCCUUCCCCAAGCCCUAUUGCCUCCAACGGCCGGGAGUUUAAAUGGCUUUCAAUUCCGGGACACAGCUUUGUCAGCCUGUCGGCACGAUCUUGGGGACCGUAGAUGAGGCUUCUUUCUUUCGGAUUCUCCCCUCACCUGCCUAGCCCCUCCUCACCCAGAGGUGCCUGGUACCGGGCGAGCUCUCCUCUCACUCGGUGAUGACGACUGAUGAAUGUCUUUUUC